GACGAACGCUGGCGGCGUGCCUAACACAUGCAAGUAGAACGCAGAUGCGAAUGGGUGAGUAACGCGUAGGUAACUGCCUCAUAGCGGGGGAUAACAAUUGGAAACGAUAGCUAAUACCGCAAUCUGUGAGAUGGACCUGCGUUGUAUUAGCUAGUUGGUGAGGUAAAGGCUAACCAAGGCGACGAUAGAUAGCCGACCUGGGAGGCAUAACGGCCAAACUGGGACUGGGACACGGCCCAGACGCCUACGGGAGGCAGCAGUAAGGAAUCUUCGGCAAAUGGCAGAAAUCUGGCCGAGCAACGCCGCGUGAGUGAAAAAAGUUUUCGGAUCGUAAAGCUCUGUUAUUAGGGGAGCGGUAACUAACGAAUAAGGAACGGCUAACUACGUGCCAGCAGCCGCGGUAAUAC
RNAcentral lists this ribosomal RNA (407 nucleotides) under uncultured bacterium. Its description in RNAcentral is "partial 16S ribosomal RNA". It matches the Rfam family "Bacterial small subunit ribosomal RNA", at positions 28 to 526 of the family's 1533-position model. The record is from RNAcentral.